This is a long non-coding RNA of Sander lucioperca (pikeperch), 211 nucleotides long. RefSeq lists it as uncharacterized. The transcript is spliced from 2 exons. The record is from RefSeq and is a predicted model, not a curated record. Lineage: Eukaryota; Metazoa; Chordata; Actinopteri; Perciformes; Percidae.
AAAUCACAUUUAAAUAGAAUCUAUACUUUUAAUAAUAUGUGCACAGAACUGCUUCUUGUGUCAAUUCAUUCUCAUGUCGUCAUUUAGAAAGUUCCUCAUUUCGAGCUCUGGGACUUGUAUCUGCACCGAUCUCAUUUUCUUGUCCAAGUGCCAGUAUCUUUUUCUACAUUAUCUGAUGUAAACAAAAAUAAUCUUGUACAAGUAAAAAAAA